CACUCUACCAUAAAGGCCUGAUUUGGUAGAGUGCUGCAAAGAUGAUUGUCCUUCUGGAAGGUUCUCCCAUCUCCACAGAGGAACUCUGGCGCUCUGUCAGACUGACCAUCGGAUUCUUGGUCACCUCCCUGACCAAGGCCCUUCUCCCCCGAUUGCUCAGUUUGGCCUGGUUGACAGCUCUAAGAAGAGUCUUGGUGGUUCCACUGUGUUCUUGGGGACCUUCAACGCUGCAGAAAUGUUUUGUUACCCUUCUCCAGAUCUGUGCCUCGACACAAUUCUGUCUCGGAGCUCUACAGAUAAUUCCUUCGACCUCAUGGCUUGGUUUUUGCUCUGACAUGCACUGUCAACUGUGGGACUUUUAUAUAGACAGAAUAAGGCUGUAACUUAACGGAAAUGUGGAAAAAAUGAAGGGGUGUGAAUACUUUCCAAAUGCACUGUAAGUAUAUGUUGGGAGAAAGGGUUUUCGUGCCAAAUAAACUUGUCUUCCAGAUAACCCAUAAAUAGACAUGCAUGGUCAGGAGGUCAAAUGCAGCCCAUAGCCACACCAUGAUUUUGUAAAUAGUAUCAAAUAGUAACAAUAUAUAUACAUACAGUUGAAGUCUGAAUUUUACAUACACCUUAGCCAAAUACAUUUAAAAUAAAUUCCUGACAUUUAGUUCUAGUAAAAAUUCCCUGUCUUAGGUCAGUAAGGAUCACCACUUUAUUUUAAGAAUGUGAAAUGUCAGAAUAAUAGAGAGAAUUACUUAUUUCAGCUUUUAUUUAUUUCGUCACAUUCCCAGUGGGUCAGAAGUUUACAUACACUCAAUUAUUAUUUGGUAGCAUUGCCUUUAAAUUGUUUAACUUGGGUCAAAUAUUUUGGGUAGCCUUCCACAAGCUUCCCACAAUAAGUUGGAUGAAUUUUGGCAUAUUCCUCCUGACAGAGCUGGUGUAGCUGAGUCAGGUUUGUAGGCUUCCCUGCUCACACACGCUUUUUCAGUUCUGCCCACACAUUUUCUAUGGGAUUGAGGUCAGGGCUUUGUGAUGGCCACUCCAAUACCUUGACUUUGUUGUCCUUAAGCCAUUUUGCCACAACUUUGGAAGUAUGCUUGGGGUCAUUGUCCAUUUGGAAGACCCAUUUGCAACCAAGCUUUAACUUCUUGACUGAUGUCUUGAGAUGUUGCUUAAAUAUAUCCUCAUAAUUGUCCAUCCUCAUGAUUCCAUCUAUUUUGUGAAGUGCACCAGUCCCUCCUGCAGCAAAGCACCCCCACAACAUGAUGCUGCCACCCCGUGCUUCACGGUUGGGAUGGUGUUCUUCGGCUUGCAAGCAUCCCCCUUUUUCCUCCAAACAUAAUGAUGGUCAUUAUGGCCAAACAGUUCUAUUUUUGUUUCAUCAGACCAGAGGACAUUUCUCCAAAAAGUACGAUCUUUGUUCCCAUGAGCAGUUGCAAACCGUAGUCUGGCUUUUUUGUGGCAGUUUUGGAGCAGUGGCUUCUUCCUUGCUGUGCGGCCUUUCAGGUUGUGUUGUGGGCUAUACUCGGCCUUGUCUUAGGACGGUAAGUUGGUGGUUGGAGACAUCCCUCUAGUGGUGUGGGGGCUGUGCUUUGGCAAAGUGGGUGGGGUUAUAUCCUGCCUGUUUGGCCCUGUCCGGGGGUAUCAGCGGAUGGGGCCACAGUGUCUUCUGAUCCCUCCUG
Molecule: long non-coding RNA, 1670 nt
Filed under: Salmo salar (Atlantic salmon)
Lineage: Eukaryota; Metazoa; Chordata; Actinopteri; Salmoniformes; Salmonidae
Description: lncRNA (ENSSSAG00000094252.1)
Source: RNAcentral